UUAUGGGAAACAUGAGAGUGUCUUUAGAACCGCCCUUGCACAGGUAUUGCAUGGCUGUCGUCAGCUCGUGUCGUGAGAUGUUGGGUUAAGUCCCACAACGAGCGCAACCCCUAUUCUUAGUUGCCAUCAGGUUAAGCUGGGCACUCUAGGGAGACUGCCUCGGAUAACGAGGAGGAAGGUGGGGAUGACGUCAAGUCAUCAUGGUCUAUGGUUCUGGGCUAGAAACGUGCUACAAUGGUCGGUACAAAGGGUUGCGAUACCGCGAGGUGGAGCCAACCCCAAAAAGCCGGUCUCAGUUCGAAUUGGAGUCUGCAAUUUGACUCCAUGAAGCUGGAAUUGCUAGUAAUCGCGGAUCAGCAAUGCCGCGGUGAAUUCGUUCCCGGGCCUUGUACACACCGCCCGUCACAUGACUGAGUUGG
This 419-nucleotide ribosomal RNA is filed under the name uncultured Geobacter sp. Its description in RNAcentral is "bacterial SSU rRNA". It matches the Rfam family "Bacterial small subunit ribosomal RNA", at positions 998 to 1414 of the family's 1533-position model. The record is from RNAcentral. Lineage: Bacteria; Pseudomonadati; Thermodesulfobacteriota; Desulfuromonadia; Geobacterales; Geobacteraceae.